Molecule: ribosomal RNA, 328 nt
Filed under: uncultured bacterium
Lineage: Bacteria
Description: bacterial SSU rRNA
Rfam family: Bacterial small subunit ribosomal RNA
Source: RNAcentral
GAGUUUGAUCAUGGCUCAGGACGAACGCUGGCGGCGUGCUUAACACAUGCAAGUCGAGCGACAGCCUCCUUCGGGGGUAUGGAGCGGCGAACGGGUGAGUAACACGUGGGCAACCUGCCCUCAGCUCUGGGAUAACUCCGGGAAACCGGGGCUAAUACCGGAUACGACCUUCCCUCGCAUGGGGGUUGUGGAAAGUUCUUCGGCUGAGGAUGGGCCCGCGGCCUAUCAGCUUGUUGGUGGGGUGAAGGCCUACCAAGGCGACGACGGGUAGCCGGCCUGAGAGGGCGACCGGCCACACUGGGACUGAGACACGGCCCCAGACUCCUAC